This 253-nucleotide ribosomal RNA is filed under the name uncultured bacterium. Its description in RNAcentral is "partial 16S ribosomal RNA". It matches the Rfam family "Bacterial small subunit ribosomal RNA", at positions 524 to 776 of the family's 1533-position model. The record is from RNAcentral.
GACGGAGGAUGCAAGUGUUAUCCGGAAUCACUGGGCGUAAAGCGUCUGUAGGUGGUCAAGUAAGUCAACUGUUAAAUCUUGAGGCUCAACCUCAAAAUCGCAGUCGAAACUAUUCGACUAGAGUAUAGUAGGGGUAAAGGGAAUUUCCAGUGGAGCGGUGAAAUGCGUAGAGAUUGGAAAGAACACCGAUGGCGAAGGCUCUUUACUGGUCUAUUACUAACACUGAGAGACGAAAGCUAGGGUAGCAAAUGGG